RNAcentral lists this ribosomal RNA (468 nucleotides) under uncultured bacterium. Its description in RNAcentral is "partial 16S ribosomal RNA". It matches the Rfam family "Bacterial small subunit ribosomal RNA", at positions 28 to 507 of the family's 1533-position model. The record is from RNAcentral.
GACGAACGCUGGCGGCGUGCUUAACACAUUCAAGUCGAACGGAAAGGCCCUGCUUUUGUGGGUUGCUCGAUUGGCGAACGUGUGUGUAACACGUGAGUAACCUGCCCUUGACUUUGUGAUAACUUCAGGAAACUGGGGCUAAUACCGGAUAGGAUCUCCUGCUGCAUGGUGGGGGUUGGAAAGUUUCGGCGGUUGGGGAUGGACUCGCGGCUUAUCAGCUUGUUGGUGGGGUAGUGGCUUACCAAGGCUUUGACGGGUAGCCGGCCUGUGAGGGUGACCGGGGACAUUGGGACUGAGAUACGGAACAGAAGGCAACGGGAGGCAGCAGUGGGGAAUAGUGCAAAAUGGGAGGAAGCCUGAUGCAGAAACGCAGGGAGCGGGAUGAAGGGCUUCGGGGUGUAAAAAGAUUUAGAAUGUGACGAAGAGGGAGUGACGGUAAUGGGUAAAGAAGCAACGGCUAACUACGUG